Molecule: ribosomal RNA, 422 nt
Filed under: uncultured bacterium
Lineage: Bacteria
Description: bacterial SSU rRNA
Rfam family: Bacterial small subunit ribosomal RNA
Source: RNAcentral
UGAGGAAUAUUGGUCAAUGGGCGGGAGCCUGAACCAGCCAAAUCGCGUGAAGGAAGACUGCCCUACGGGUUGUAAACUUCUUUUGUACAGGAAUAAAAGACAUUACGUGUAAUGUAUUGCAUGUACUGUACGAAUAAGCAUCGGCUAACUCCGUGCCAGCAGCCGCGGUAAUACGGAGGAUGCGAGCGUUAUCCGGAUUUAUUGGGUUUAAAGGGUGCGCAGGCGGGAUUUUAAGUCAGCGGUGAAAUUUUCAGGCUCAACCUGAACACUGCCGUUGAAACUGGGAUUCUUGAGUAUGGAUGAAGUAGGCGGAAUUCGUUGUGUAGCGGUGACAUGCUUAGAUAUAACGAGGAACUCCGAUUGCGUAGGCAGCUUACUAAGCCAUAACUGACGCUCAAGCACGAAAGCGUGGGGAUCAAACA